This 74-nucleotide transfer RNA is filed under the name Candidatus Saganbacteria bacterium. RNAcentral describes it as "tRNA-Met". It matches the Rfam family "tRNA". From Rfam's summary of the family: Transfer RNA (tRNA) molecules are approximately 80 nucleotides in length. Their secondary structure includes four short double-helical elements and three loops (D, anti-codon, and T loops). Lineage: Bacteria; Bacillati. The record is from RNAcentral.
GGCUGGGUAGCUCAGUUGGUUAGAGCAAGCGGCUCAUACCCGCUGUGUCGGUGGUUCGAAUCCACUCCCAGCCA